RNAcentral lists this ribosomal RNA (400 nucleotides) under Ammonia sp. RNAcentral's name for it is "partial large subunit ribosomal RNA". Lineage: Eukaryota; Foraminifera; Rotaliida; Rotaliidae. The record is from RNAcentral.
CGUAAUAAUAGAAACUAACCAGGAUUCCCUUAGUAACGGCGAGUGAACUGGGAUGCCAAUAUAAAAUAUGUACCUCGCGUGCAUAAAUUAGCCCGUCGAUACUAUCCUAGCGUAUGUACCGGUCUUCGGGUCGGUACUCAAAUACGCGGGAAUUGUAGCAUCGUAAUAAAAAAAAAAAAAUAUAUACAGCACGCACACACACACACUGCCAACAUGCGUACCACUUGUAAACACACAGCGUCUCCGCGUUGAAAAGCAAGUUUAUAUCCUCUUUGGAUAUGCCAUAGAGUGUGACAGCCACGUUUCACCCUAAUAUAAGUACGCACACACACACACACACAUACACACGGCUCGUGCGAGUGCAAUACGUAUAUAUUCUAUAACCUGAGUCGAGUUAUUU